CUCUCGGCAGCCAUGGCGGCUCUAUGUUUGUAUCGCCAUUGUUACCGUUGGGACGCCGCGGAUGACCCUAUAUACCCUUGGCCGGCUACCGGGAAGACUGCGUCUCCUGACGAUCGUAACGAAGAUGUACCGUGCUUUCCUUCUGAGAGUUUAGUCGCCCUAAUAUGUGCAGCAGGCUAACCGCGUGGAAGCUUGCCUGCCAGAAAGAAAGCGCCUGUUGGGCUAUUAGGAAAGUUGGUGACUAAAGUCUGCUUAUGCCAAAUGCCCAGCAAUGUCCAGUUGAGAUCCAGGAGCCAGGAAGAAGGGGGGCUACUUGGCCAACAUGGCUGAUCACGUGCCUGAGGUAUGCCCUCUGACCUCACCAGGGUAACACAGAACCAUCCAUACAGGCCUUGGGCAGCUGGAAAUUUACACUGGUAGCUCUCCCAUGUCCUAAGUUAGGAACUGGAUUUGGAUUGGCUUGGGUUUGACUCUUAUUUCCAAGACUGGUGAGGUAAACACUGGAUGGAGGACCCUCUAAGGCUCAACCUCUCUAUCUAAUUGUAUAUGGCCUUAAGAGAGAUAAUUGAGUUGGGUGGUGAUAACUGGUCACUUGAGUUCAAGGCCAGCCUGGUCUACAAAGCAAGUUCCAGGACAGCCAGGACUGGUACACAAAGAAACCCUGUCUUGAAAAACUAAAAAAAAAAAGGAGAGGGGAAAAAAGGCUGGAUGCUGUGACACAAAUAAACUUGUCAGUUCUUGA
This is a long non-coding RNA of Mus musculus (house mouse), 742 nucleotides long. RefSeq annotates it as small nucleolar RNA host gene 7. Lineage: Eukaryota; Metazoa; Chordata; Mammalia; Rodentia; Muridae. The record is from RefSeq and is marked validated. The transcript has 4 exons.